This is a non-coding RNA of Pelobates cultripes (western spadefoot toad), 237 nucleotides long. The record is from the annotation of a GenBank genome assembly. Lineage: Eukaryota; Metazoa; Chordata; Amphibia; Anura; Pelobatidae.
GCUAGUGACAGAGUGAGGGACAGUGUGACUAGUGACAGAGAGAGGGAGGGGGUGACUAGUGACAGCGUGAGGGAGGUUGUGAUUAGUGACAGAGGGAGGGAUGGGGUGACUAGUGACAGUCACCACCUCGUUCACUCUGUCACUAGUCACCCCCUCCCUCACUCUGUCAUUGUGUCAACCCCUUCCUCACUCUGUCACUAGUCACCCACUCCCUCCCUCACUCUGUCACUAGUCAGC